This 1346-nucleotide ribosomal RNA is filed under the name uncultured bacterium. RNAcentral describes it as "partial 16S ribosomal RNA". It matches the Rfam family "Bacterial small subunit ribosomal RNA", at positions 28 to 1381 of the family's 1533-position model. The record is from RNAcentral.
GACGAACGCUGGCGGCGUGCUUAACACAUGCAAGUCGAACGGAAAGGCCCUGCUUUUGUGGGGUGCUCGAGUGGCGAACGGGUGAGUAACACGUGAGUAACCUGCCCUUGACUUUGGGAUAACUUCAGGAAACUGGGGCUAAUACCGGAUAGGAGCUCCUGCUGCAUGGUGGGGGUUGGAAAGUUUCGGCGGUUGGGGAUGGACUCGCGGCUUAUCAGCUUGUUGGUGGGGUAGUGGCUUACCAAGGCUUUGACGGGUAGCCGGCCUGAGAGGGUGACCGGCCACAUUGGGACUGAGAUACGGCCCAGACUCCUACGGGAGGCAGCAGUGGGGAAUAUUGCACAAUGGGCGGAAGCCUGAUGCAGCAACGCCGCGUGCGGGAUGACGGCCUUCGGGUUGUAAACCGCUUUCGCCUGUGACGAAGCGUGAGUGACGGUAAUGGGUAAAGAAGCACCGGCUAACUACGUGCCAGCAGCCGCGGUGAUACGUAGGGUGCGAGCGUUGUCCGGAUUUAUUGGGCGUAAAGGGCUCGUAGGUGGUUGAUCGCGUCGGAAGUGUAAUCUUGGGGCUUAACCCUGAGCGUGCUUUCGAUACGGGUUGACUUGAGGAAGGUAGGGGAGAAUGGAAUUCCUGGUGGAGCGGUGGAAUGCGCAGAUAUCAGGAGGAACACCAGUGGCGAAGGCGGUUCUCUGGGCCUUUCCUGACGCUGAGGAGCGAAAGCGUGGGGAGCGAACAGGCUUAGAUACCCUGGUAGUCCACGCUGUAAACGGUGGGUACUAGGUGUGGGGUCCAUUCCACGGGUUCCGUGCCGUAGCUAACGCUUUAAGUACCCCGCCUGGGGAGUACGGCCGCAAGGCUAAAACUCAAAGGAAUUGACGGGGCCCCGCACAAGCGGCGGAGCAUGCGGAUUAAUUCGAUGCAACGCGUAGAACCUUACCUGGGUUUGACAUGGAUCGGGAGUGCUCAGAGAUGGGUGUGCCUCUUUUGGGGUCGGUUCACAGGUGGUGCAUGGCUGUCGUCAGCUCGUGUCGUGAGAUGUUGGGUUAAGUCCCGCAACGAGCGCAACCCUUGUUCACUGUUGCCAGCACGUUAUGGUGGGGACUCAGUGGAGACCGCCGGGGUCAACUCGGAGGAAGGUGGGGAUGACGUCAAGUCAUCAUGCCCCUUAUGUCCAGGGCUUCACGCAUGCUACAAUGGCUGGUACAGAGAGUGGCGAGCCUGUGAGGGUGAGCGAAUCUCGGGAAGCCGGUCUCAGUUCGGAUUGGGGUCUGCAACUCGACCUCAUGAAGUCGGAGCCGCUAGUAAUCGCAGAUCAGCAACGCUGCGGUGAAUACGUUCCCGGGGCU